Molecule: ribosomal RNA, 425 nt
Filed under: uncultured bacterium
Lineage: Bacteria
Description: bacterial SSU rRNA
Rfam family: Bacterial small subunit ribosomal RNA
Source: RNAcentral
GAAUAUUGGACAAUGGGCGCAAGCCUGAUCCAGCCAUGCCGCGUGUGUGAAGAAGGUCUUCGGAUUGUAAAGCACUUUAAGUUGGGAGGAAGGGUUGUAGCCUAAUACGCUGCAAUCUUGACGUUACCGACAGAAUAAGCACCGGCUAACUCUGUGCCAGCAGCCGCGGUAAUACAGAGGGUGCAAGCGUUAAUCGGAAUUACUGGGCGUAAAGCGCGCGUAGGUGGCAAAGUAAGAUGGGUGUGAAAUCCCCGGGCUCAACCUGGGAACUGCAUCCAUAACUGCUUCGCUAGAGUACGGUAGAGGGUAGUGGAAUUUCCUGUGUAGCGGUGAAAUGCGUAGAUAUAGGAAGGAACACCAGUGGCGAAGGCGACUACCUGGACUGAUACUGACACUGAGGUGCGAAAGCGUGGGGAGCAAACAGG